Molecule: non-coding RNA, 3159 nt
Organism: Pelobates cultripes (western spadefoot toad)
Lineage: Eukaryota; Metazoa; Chordata; Amphibia; Anura; Pelobatidae
Source: the annotation of a GenBank genome assembly
GGGCAAGGAGACCCUGUUGGGCAAAAAGUUGUCUAAGGAGACAGCGCUGGGUCGCAUGGCUGGGCCAUUCGAUUUUCUCCCCUUUCCUAACUUGCGGCCUAGUCCCGAAAAAGGAGGCUGGAUGAUUCUUUUUGGAUGAUUCAUCACUUGUCCUAGCUGGCUGGGAGUUCAGUGAAUGAUGACAUUGACAGAGAGUUCAGCAGGGUCUGGUAUGCCUCUUUUGAUCGGGCUCUGUCGCUGAUUAGAAAAGCUGGAGUAGGGGCACUCAUGGCAAAAUCUGAUAUUGAAUGGGCCUUCCGGUUAUUGCCGGUUCACCCGGAAUGUUUUCACCUUCUGGGUUGUCAGUUUCAAGGGUCAUAUUUUUAUGAUAUGUGCCUUCCCAUUUCCUGUUCCUAUUUCGAAAUGUUUGCUUCGUUUUUUGGAAUGGGUAGUUGUUCAGUUCGCAGGUAUUGCGUCAGUUACACAUUAUCACGAUGAUUUUCUGUUUGUGGGUCCUCGGGAUGGGGUUGAGUGUGCCCAGUUAUUGUUGGUUGUUCCGUGCAGUGGCGCACAGUAUAAUGGGCGGUCGUGCUGGUUGCAAGUAACGGGGUCUAAUUCUGAGUUGGAUCUCUUCACGGAUGCGUCUGGUUCAGUCGGGUUUGGGGCCUUCUUUAGGGGUAAGUGGUGUGCAGCGGCGUGGCCUCCAGAAUGGCGUGAGUUAGACGUUAUGCAUAACCUUACCUUCCUGGAACUUUUCCCCAUAGUGGUGGCUCUGGCAUUGUGGGGUGAGGACCUGCGGGAUCGGGUGGUGGUUUUUCACACGGACAAUAUGAGUGUUGUCCAUGUGAUUAACCGAUCAUCUUCUUCUCCUGUUUUGGCAAUUUAAGUUUAAUGUAGCGAUUUCGAGGUUUGUUCGUUGCCUUGGCGGUGUGUCGGUUCGACACACGAAGUUGGAAGGGGACAAUUGAAGGUUAAUGAGGGACGAUGGGGUUCACCUGAAUCCUAUUGGGCUGGAUAUAUUUAACGUGGGUAUCCAAGGAGGGAUUGAAACAGCGCUGUCUGCGAGGGGCGCGAUGCAGAUAAAUGAAGAUCAGGGUCGGCAGCGCGGUGGCGGCGGUCCUGGCCAGCGCAAGUAAUGCAAGACAAGGCUUUGGGGAGUCGCACCUGGCAGGGCUGAUGGCAGAAGGCAGACUGUACGGACUCUUGGAAUUAUCCGGUGUAUCUGUCUGUUGGGUAAUCACCCCAACAGCAGACAGCUGGUGAUAUAAAGCUGGCUGAGUUGAUAUGUUGGAAUAAUAAAGCUGUGGCUGUUGCCCUUACUCCAAUACUCAGGUGUCUUGACGUUAUUGGGGGGGCAACGGGAAUGUAAGUGGUCUGCAGUCAUGAGCAAUUACUGCCUCUUGAGUUUAGCUCCACCGAGCUAACCAAACCAGGAAGUAACAUGAUUCGUUAUCUGAUUGACAGCUGGGGAAAAGGGGGUUAAUAAUGGCCAUUUAUAAAAGUGCUAAUUUCUAUUGAAACCUGCACUUUUCUAAAUGAAAAAAAAAGAGGACACACUUCACACAGUGCGUUAGGGGUCUGGAGUAUCCCUUUAAUAUACCAACUGCAGAGCCUAUUCAUACCUCAGGGUCCCAGAUUUGCUUGCCAGCUGGUUGAACUAUUUUUAAGGUCAAUUCUAAGAGUUCUAGUGUAAAGUGAUAAUUUCUUGGCCCCCGGACUUACUUUGACAGGAAAUCUCAAUGUAUCCUUCUUGGUAAAACACUUUGAUUUAAAUUUUUAUCCCAGGGAAGCCUUACAUUUAUUGUUAAGCGUUUCAGAGAACUAGCCUCGUGGGCAAUUUCACCGAGUUCUCAAUUUCAGCUCCACAAACUUGUCUGUUUGGAUAGAAAAAUACUUUAUACCUUAUACUUACUUCAAGAACCCGGUAAAUAGUCAUUCUUCCCUCAUGCUGAAAGGAUUAAAAGAACAAUUCCUCUUUGAUGUAUACUAGCCACCAGAUCUCUCCAAGUUUGUUUUUUUUUCACAGAGAGAACCGUGGUGACAAUGCACUGAGAUAAAGGGGGCUUAUUCAUCAAACGUUUUUUGUUUGUUUGGAAGGUUUUUUUUGUGAGAGAAAUAAGACCUCUUUUCAUCAAGGUGUGAAUGUUACAAUCUUUGAAUAAUAAUCUGUGCUGAAUACACAGGGAGGGUACCAUGGUUUGUUGUUUUUUAUGCUAUAAAAAAAUAAUUGCCUGAAAAGACAGCAGUUGUUUUCAUUUUAUUAUUUUUUUCUUACACUGCAGAUACAUGGAUAGGGUUUGUUUGUUAAAUAAAUAAAACCAAUUAGAAUGAAUUAAAAAAAUCAAUUAUUUUUUUCAUUGAAGGUCCGUUCUCUGUUAUCCAUAUGACAAUAUGUGUGUAAAAAAGGGGCUACAAGGUUUUUUUGUACGUUCAGAUGAUCAGCUUGUCAAUGUGGCUGGGAUUAAUAAGAAGUCUAAAGAAACUUGAGUCAAAGUUUUCUAAAAUAAACGUGCUUGCCAUUUUGUGUCAGUAUUUUACCAGUUUGGUAUCUAGAGGACUGGUCACCUACAGGGCUUUCACAUUUCUGGGGAAUGAAACCUAUGAAAAUGUUUCAGCAAGAAGUAUGGGAGUUGUUCACAGAUGGACAUUAGUGGCAACCCUGUAGGACGUCUUACCCACAAAGCUCAUCCUUUGUCAUCUUACAGCAGGUGAGGGUCAGUCCAACCUCGAAAGUGGGUGGAGUUUCAAACCAAGAGUCUCAGCAUAAAACCCAGCAUGCACCAGAUAUGCAGAUUGAGAUCUUUCUAUUGGUUACCCUUACUCAAGGCCUGAGGCGUCCACCCUUACCCACCAGUUGUUGUUGGACUGUAGUUCCCAUAAUCCUCUACCAAUUGGCAGAGCACCUAGUCCAAUCUCAGUUAAAGUGCCGAGGUUGUACACGCUUUUUCAAAAUGCUUCUCAUUGUUGAUUUCUGUGUAUUUCUCAGGGACUGGUAGCAUUUAGGGUGCCAAAUGAAAUGGAAGGGUUUAUUUUUUUAUUAUCCAAUAAUUGUAUGUACCGUGAAGGAAAUAAAAUGAUUUAAAGUCACUGCUGCGGACAUGCUAUUCAUGCUGCAUUAGGAUUAUUGCGUUAACACUUUUUGUUUGUAUAAAUAUAACGUAACAUUUAUUUAAAACAUGG